RNAcentral lists this unclassified non-coding RNA (301 nucleotides) under Basidiomycota sp. RNAcentral describes it as "partial contains small subunit ribosomal RNA, internal transcribed spacer 1, and 5.8S ribosomal RNA". The stretch from base 1 to 47 matches the Rfam family "Eukaryotic small subunit ribosomal RNA", at positions 1785 to 1831 of the family's 1831-position model. The record is from RNAcentral. Lineage: Eukaryota; Fungi; Basidiomycota.
AAAGUCGUAACAAGGUUUCCGUAGGUGAACCUGCGGAAGGAUCAUUAACACGUAUCCAUACGUAUUAUAUACCAAACCGUGAACUCGUUUGAAAAUAACACUGAAGAAGGGGGAAGUGAUAGGAAUUCAUUCCAAUUGCGACUCCUUUCUUGUACCUUAUUUCAACUUAUAAACCACUUGUAACCAAUUGUACUAAACAAACUAAGAAAGUGUAGUCUGCGUAUGUUCAUUCAUGCGCUUCUUCGCUUUUUGUAUUUACGAAACGUAAAAACAAUUCUUAGCAACGGAUAUCUUGGUUCUC